CCUACGGGUGGCUGCAGUGAGGGAUAUUGGGCAAUGGGGGAAACCCUGACCCAGCGACGCCGCGUGAGGGAAGACGGUCUUCGGAUUGUAAACCUCUGUCUUUGGGGACGAAAAAGGACGGUACCCAAGGAGGAAGCUCCGGCUAACUACGUGCCAGCAGCCGCGGUAAUACGUAGGGAGCGAGCGUUGUCCGGAAUUACUGGGUGUAAAGGGAGCGUAGGCGGGAAGGCAAGUUGGAUGUGAAAACUGUGGGCUUAACCGACAGACUGCAUUCAAAACUGUUUUUCUUGAGUGAAGUAGAGGCAAGCGGAAUUCCUAGUGUAGCGGUGAAAUGCGUAGAUAUUAGGAGGAACACCAGUGGCGAAGGCGGCUUGCUGGGCUUUUACUGACGCUGAGGCUCGAAAGUGUGGGGAGCAAACAGGCUUAGAUACCCCAGUAGUC
RNAcentral lists this ribosomal RNA (441 nucleotides) under uncultured Anaerotruncus sp. Its description in RNAcentral is "bacterial SSU rRNA". It matches the Rfam family "Bacterial small subunit ribosomal RNA", at positions 338 to 795 of the family's 1533-position model. The record is from RNAcentral. Lineage: Bacteria; Bacillati; Bacillota; Clostridia; Eubacteriales; Oscillospiraceae.